CGAAAGCCUGACGGAGCAACGCCGCGUGAGGGAGGAAGGCCUGUGGGUUGUAAACCUCUUUUCUCAGGGAAGAAGAUCUGACGGUACCUGAGGAAUCAGCAUCGGCUAACUCCGUGCCAGCAGCCACGGUAAGACGGAGGAUGCAAGCGUUAUCCGGAAUUAUUGGGCGUAAAGCGUCCGUAGGCGGCUAAUCAAGUCUGCUGUCAAAGCCCACAGCUCAACUGUGGAGAGGCAGUGGAAACUGGAUAGCUAGAGUGUGGUAGGGGCAGAGGGAAUUCCUGGUGUAGCGGUGAAAUGCGUAGAUAUCAGGAAGAACACCAGUGGCGAAGGCGCUCUGCUGGGCCAUAACUGACGCUGAUGGACGAAAGCUAGGGGAGCG
This 379-nucleotide ribosomal RNA is filed under the name uncultured cyanobacterium. Its description in RNAcentral is "bacterial SSU rRNA". It matches the Rfam family "Bacterial small subunit ribosomal RNA", at positions 376 to 770 of the family's 1533-position model. The record is from RNAcentral. Lineage: Bacteria; Bacillati; Cyanobacteriota.